MicroRNA precursor from Oryza rufipogon (brownbeard rice), 183 nucleotides. It matches the Rfam family "MIR812 microRNA precursor family". The record is from Rfam. Lineage: Eukaryota; Viridiplantae; Streptophyta; Magnoliopsida; Poales; Poaceae.
UAUAAGUGCAGUUUUGUACUGCUCAUGUCUAGCGUAUAACCGUUCGUCUUAUUUGAAAAUAUUUAUAAUUAGUAUUUUUAUUGUUAUUAGAUGAUAAAACAUAUAUAAUUCUUUAUGUGUAACUAUUUUUUAAAAAAAUUAUAAUUUUUUUAAAUAAGACGGAUUUCCACAACUACACUUAUU